GAUAUAAUUAUUAAAGGGCUGCAGUAUAUUGACUGUACAAAGGUAGCAUAAUCAUUAGUCUUUUAAUUGAAGACUUGUAUGAAAGAUUUGAUGAAAUAUAAACUGUCUCUAAUUUAUUAAAUAAAAUUUAAUUUUUUAGUUAAAAAGCUAAAAUAAAAUUAAAAGACGAGAAGACCCUAUAGAGUUUUAUAAUUGAAUUAUUUAAUAUUAAAUAUAUAAAUAUUAAAUUAAAAUUAAUUUAAUUAUUUUAUUGGGGUGAUAGAAAAAUUAAAAAAACUUUUUUUAAAUAAUAAACAUAAAUAAGUGAAUAAAUGAUCCAUUAAAUAAUGAUUAUAAGAAAAAAUUACCUUAGGGAUAACAGCGUAAUAUUUUUUUUUAGUACAAAUAAAAAAAAAAGUUUGCGACCUCGAUGUUGGAUUAAGAUAAAAUUUAAAUGCAAAAGUUUAAAAUUUUGAUCUGUUCGAUCAUUAAAAUCUUACAUGAUCUGAGGUCA
RNAcentral lists this ribosomal RNA (493 nucleotides) under Vanessa cardui. RNAcentral's name for it is "partial 16S ribosomal RNA". The stretch from base 354 to 493 matches the Rfam family "Archaeal large subunit ribosomal RNA", at positions 2542 to 2682 of the family's 2987-position model. The record is from RNAcentral. Lineage: Eukaryota; Metazoa; Arthropoda; Insecta; Lepidoptera; Nymphalidae.